UACUGACUGAGAUUCUACUGACUACCCUGU
This 30-nucleotide non-coding RNA is filed under the name Mus musculus (house mouse). Lineage: Eukaryota; Metazoa; Chordata; Mammalia; Rodentia; Muridae. The record is from RNAcentral.